Molecule: ribosomal RNA, 568 nt
Filed under: uncultured organism
Description: bacterial SSU rRNA
Rfam family: Bacterial small subunit ribosomal RNA
Source: RNAcentral
GGUAUGAGAGGGGUCUGCGUCCUAUCAGCUUGUUGGUAAGGUAAUGGCUUACCAAGGCUAAGACGGGUAGGGGGCGUGAGAGCGCGGUCCCCCACAGUGGCACUGAAACACGGGCCACACUCCUACGGGAGGCAGCAAUUAGGAAUCUUUCGCAAUGGGGGAAACCCUGACGAAGCGACGCCGCGUGAAGGAAGACGGCCUACGGGUUGUAAACUUCUUUUAUUAGGGAGCAGGAAGGAUAGUACCUAAUGAAUAAGCACCUGCUAACUGCGUGCCAGAAGCCUCGGUGAUGCGUAGGGUGCAAGCGUUGUCCGGAUUUAUUGGGCGUAAAGUGACUGUAGGCGGUCAAGGAAGUUUUGUUUCAAAGACUCAGGCUUAACUUGAGGAAGGGACAAAAAACCACUUGACUUGAGGAAGGUAGAGGAAUACGGAAUGUGUGGUGGAGCGGUAGAAUGCGUUGAUAUCACACAGAACGCCAAAAGCGAAGGCAGUAUUCUGGACCUUUCCUGACGCUCAGAGUCGAAAGCCAGGGUAGCGAAACGGAUUAGAUACCCGUGUAGUCCUGGCC